GUGAAAGUUUGCGGCUCAACCGUAAAAUUGCAGUUGAUACUGGCUGUCUUGAGUACAGUAGAGGUGGGCGGAAUUCGUGGUGUAGCGGUGAAAUGCUUAGAUAUCACGAAGAACUCCGAUUGCGAAGGCAGCUCACUGGACUGCAACUGACACUGAUGCUCGAAAGUGUGGGUAUCAAACAGGAUUAGAUACCCUGGUAGUCCACACAGUGAACGAUGAAUACUCGCUGUUUGCGAUAUACAGUAAGCGGCCAAGCGAAAGCAUUAAGUAUUCCACCUGGGGAGUACGCCGGCAACGGUGAAACUCAAAGGAAUUGACGGGGGCCCGCACAAGCGGAGGAACAUGUGGUUUAAUUCGAUGAUACGCGAGGAACCUUACCCGGGCUUAAAUUGCAUUUGAAUAUAUUGGAAACAGUAUAGUCGUAAGACAAAUGUGAAGGUGCUGCAUGGUUGUCGUCAGCUCGUGCCGUGAGGUGUCGGCUUAAGUGCCAUAACGAGCGCAACCCUUAUCUUUAGUUACUAACAGGUCAUGCUGAGGACUCUAGAGAGACUGCCGUCGUAAGAUGUGAGGAAGGUGGGGAUGACGUCAAAUCAGCACGGCCCUUACGUCCGGGGCUACACACGUGUUACAAUGGGGGGUACAGAAGGCAGCUACACAGCGAUGUGAUGCUAAUCCCAAAAGCCUCUCUCAGUUCGGAUUGGAGUCUGCAACCCGACUCCAUGAAGCUGGAUUCGCUAGUAAUCGCGCAUCAGCCACGGCGCGGUGAGUACGUUCCCGGGCCUUGUACACACCGCCCGUCAAGCCAUGAAAGCCGGGGGUACCUGAAGUCCGUAACCGCAAGGAGCGGCCUAGGGUAAAACUGGUAAUUGGGGCUA
RNAcentral lists this ribosomal RNA (875 nucleotides) under uncultured bacterium. RNAcentral's name for it is "bacterial SSU rRNA". It matches the Rfam family "Bacterial small subunit ribosomal RNA", at positions 594 to 1483 of the family's 1533-position model. The record is from RNAcentral.